RNAcentral lists this ribosomal RNA (229 nucleotides) under uncultured bacterium. Its description in RNAcentral is "partial 16S ribosomal RNA". It matches the Rfam family "Bacterial small subunit ribosomal RNA", at positions 568 to 796 of the family's 1533-position model. The record is from RNAcentral.
CGUGUAGGCGGUUAUGUAAGUCUGGUGUGAAAUAUCUCGGCUUAACCGAGAAGAUGCGCUGGAAACUGUAUAACGAGAGUGAUGGAGGGGGAGCUGGAAUUCCAGGUGUAGGGGUGAAAUCUGUAGAUAUCUGGAAGAACACCGGUGGCGAAGGCGAGCUCCUGGCCAUAUACUGACGCUGAGGCGCGAAAGCGUGGGGAGCGAACAGGAUUAGAUACCCUGGUAGUCC